UGUUACUGCCUGUUACAUGUAGUACAGCAUGAUUAAUUUUUACCUUAAUCUGUGUUCUGAAACCUGCUCCUCUGAAAAAAAUUCCUGUUAUAUUUUUCCAGUAGAUAACCAUCUGCCAAUAUAAAAAUACUGUAUUUUCUGAAUAGCGAGAAACACAUUAAUGGAAAAGUUUCUACCCUUAUGGAGAAAGGAAAUAUGAAAGUCAGGUCACCAGAACUGGAGUAAAUGAGAAGUUGUUUAUAGAAUAGUGAAACAGGUGAAGGUAACACUUCUGACCUUCAAUCAGUCUUGACUUUUUUUUUUACCACUGAUAUUCCACACUUUAAUUACUGUAUUACCUUGUGGCACCCAGUUACCAUUUUGCAGUAUUCCAAAGCGCACAAAUUCACAGAGCAGUUUUUAAAUUUUAAAAACAGAGGGUUUAGAGUUACCUCUUCAGAUUUGAUGUUUGAUAUUGUAAACCUUGGAGACCCACCAUGAUUGUUCCAUGGUGUUUAUUUUACACAAGAUGUAGAGAAUGAAUAUGAGAUAAGGAAAAACAAAUAAGCUAAACGUCCAAAGGUCAGAAGCAGCAGAUUUGCCAUGCUUCAUAUUUUCUAGAAACCUUGUAAGAAUCACUUUAUGUGUAAAUAUGAAUGUGGAGAAACAUGUGGAAGCUGUCUUUCAAACUGGUCAUGUCAGCUGCCCAGUUUUCUCAUUUACCGGAGUCUGUUCUGAGUAGUAGAGCUGUUUGCCAGAGCUGUGGUGAGGGGGAGUGAACACUAGAGUAAUGUCAUCAUGUAUGUACCUGAAUUUCUUCUGCUUCCUUUGCAUUUUCUAAUUCUAUUUAUUCAGGCUUCCCAGGCCCCUUGAGGGAAACUGAAGGAACAGCACAAAGGGAGUUGGAGAAUAUCAAGAUGUGUCUUCAGGAGCAUAGCAGAAGCCUGUCCAGGAAGGGCAGGAGACAGCAACACCAGAUAAAACCCAAAUGAAUACACAUGGGAUCCUAUAAUAAUGUUUCCUUUUGUUAAUGUGCAUCCUAGGGGUUUGGUGCUUCAUUGGGUCAGAAGAUGGGGAGGAACUGUGCAAAAGACGCUGUCCCUUAUCCAUAAACACACUGAUAGGAAAGUAGAAGUGCCUGGGUGUGCAAGAUGAAUGUACUUUUUUAUGUAAAACCUGUUACAUCAGAAUGAAAUGAUGAUGGCAAGAUACCUCAAUCCUCUUGGAUGCUAGAGCAGCCACCGUCAAUAGCCCUGGCUGUAAAACUGUGCCACAGGGAUUUCCAGAAAUAUUGAGCCUAUGUGAGAUUUUGUUGAUGAGAAAUCGCCUACCUCUGUCCUUUCUGCUCCACUUAUGCUCCAGAGUCAACCUUUCUUCUCCCUUUAAUGUGUCCAGCCCAUAAUGUGCCAAGUGCAAUCAACAGCUCACUUGUUUAGGUCUAGUAGGGAGGGAAUAAUUAAAUGGCUUUGCCUGUCCAAAGCAAUUUAUUCUACACUCCUGUGCAUAUGGACACAGAGAUACUCUUUUUUCCUUGUGAUAAUCUUUUAUAUUUUCAUUAAGUGAUGUAACUAUAAAAAGAGUGCAGUCUCUUUCUUAGGUUAGGACAGCUGGAAUUUGCUGCUUGUAUUGCCUGCCAACAUGCAACAUUUCGAAGGGUAAAAAUCUUCACAAUGUAUCUGGUGUAUCUACUAGUAAUGAUGGAAAAGAACAAAUGAAUUCCUGUUCUAUGCUAGCGACAAAGCUAUGCACAGAUGUAAAAAUCAGUCACGAUGAUCCUUGGUUUCACAGAUCUCUGUUCAAGGAUUUCAGUGGUAAAUACGGUAAUCAAAAUGCCUGUGGACUCUAACCCAUUUGGUGUGUACAUACAGCUAUUUGCAUUAUUUGUCUCCAGUGGUAAUGUAUUAUUUUUCACCCUUAGGUCAGACCAUUAAAGUCUGCUGCUCAAUACCGCCUAAACUCAACAAAAAAGCGCAUAAAGGUAUAAAUUUCAAAAUUACUCGGAUGGAAAUAAGGAAAUACUGCAAGCCUUGUUCUCGGCGAGCCCCUCUCGUGGUUCCUGGACCCCUUCCACAGUUAAAAUGAGCAGACUGAGAGCAGUGUGAAAAGCAUCCGCCUGCCAGCGCUUUACUUGGUUGAGGGCCCUCCUUUCACAGAUAGGACAUGAGUGUAUAUUAUUUUAUUUUUUGUUUGGGAAAGGCUUCAGUCAGUACUGUUUAUUCAUCCACUCAGGCUCCUGCAUCUUUUUAACAUUAGCCUGGCAGCUAAAGAGUCAGCCAAAGCUGUCUGCCUGCCACUGGACUUUGUGUCACUUGCAUAUUCGUCUGCACCAAACAGGGAUUUAGCUCCUCAAAUAAGUGAAAGAGGACAGCUAGCCAAAUCACUUUGUUUUGCAUUUUUGGAUUGCCUAAAAGGUGGGAAAGGGCUGAUGUUAUUCUUUCUAGUUAUCAGUAUAUAUGCAUAUUUAACCUUUUCUAUGAACGAUUUAUUUUAUAUUGACAAAAGGAUUUUGUUUGUAGCUAGGCACAUGAUGAUUUUUGCUGCAGUCAUUGCUUGAAAUCCACUUGGAAGUGAAUUUCUAGCAAGUGAGAGAGUUCAUCAUUUAGAAGGGGCUGAGAAACUAGAUAAGCAGGUUGUUAAAAUAGUGGUAGAGGACCAGAUUCAAGUACAGUGGUAAGCUUUUCAAUAUGUCCUCUAGGGGUUUAAAUCUGGCUUGAAAAGCGAAGGGCCCUGUUCUUUAAUUUCCUAGAACAAUGUCAUCAGGUGGUUAUUAAACAGCAUACUGAAAAGGUGUUAAAGCUAAUCAGAUUAAAUCUCUUCCUCUUGCAGCCAGAAGGCAGCUGUUCUUUUAAGGGACCUGAGUUGUGUGAUCACCUUAAUAAAUAAAACUUACUGGAGCUUGAAAUAAAUGCUAAGAAUAAUACCAAAGGGCUGAGUAACAAAGAAACUGAUGCACACUCUGCUGACAUCAUUAGCAGUGAUUGGGGUCUGCACUCAUGUAUCUUCUGUCCUUUCCUAGCUGUCCCUUGCAUGUGCUGCUAUUUCUCUGCCUGGGGUGAGUCCUUAAACCAGAAUCACUUGGAUGCUCAUAAAUUCGAUUUUCCUUCUAGUGAAUACGGGAGGAGUAGAAAGCUUUUCUGCUGUUGGGUAAAUUGCAGAUUGCAAAUAGUAAUUUUUCCCUCAGUACUCAUAGUACUGCAGUUUCUCUUAAACAUAAUUUUCUGUAUGAUAGAAAUGGUCUCAGUGCCCUUCAGAAUUUGGGGCUGUUGAAUGGGGACAGCCAGGGGCCUGUUGUAACCCACAGAGGCAAAUGUAAUUCCCAAGGGUCCAGUUUAUGGACACUUGCAUGUGGCCGUGCUCUCUUAUUGGCAAUGUUUUUAUUGUACUGAGCAAUUGAAUCUAUUUCUGUGUCUUCUGUGUGCUUGUUAUUACUUUAUUUUCUUACUGGUUUUGAGAUUAGAUAGAUCUGACUCUCAGCUUCCUAUUUUUGAAGAGCUGGCCGCGCACAGCAUUUAUAUCAAGGAUAAAGGAGCUGCAUGUCCUUUUCGCAAGAUCUGAGUCAGGAGGUUGGUGAAGGAGCUGUGUUUGAUUGUUUUGCUGCUGAUCACUGGGCAAACAUAUUUUAUUUCUAUUUUGUCUUUUGUAGCUUGCAGAAGGAAUCUGUAGAAUACAAAUGACAAGUAAAUGUAAAAAACAUUUUUGGUAUUAAAUGUGUUUGCAGCAGGGUUUUACACUGUAAAAUAUGGCCAUGUGUUUACAGCUCUGUAUAAAGUGUUGCUAACAGGUAUGAAGAUUCUGUUCUCUAAUGUGAGCUUAAGCCCAUUUCUUUUAUAUCUGAAAAACGCUGUAUGAUUUUUCUCUUUGCCCCACACCCUCCAACCAGUGUGUUCCACACUCUCUGAUCCUCCUCCAGGCAAAAUGUUCUCUCUGAUAGCAAGAACAUAAGCCCCAAAGACCAUUAGCACAAUUAGAGGAGUACUCUGGGUCUCUGGAGGGAUGCAGGGACAUCAUCCAAUGCACUUGAAUAUUUUACUCACUUAGGUUCCCAGACUGGCCUCAACCUAAGGUUGAGAGCUAUUCAAGUUAAAAAUGUUGCUUGUGUGAGGUCCUGGUCUUGACUGAACAAACUAAAGCAUGAAUCCUCAAAUUAUUUCAGCAUGGAUUGUGACUGCUGCCCAAAACAUGCUUUUUGCCUUGUCUAGAGGUAUUGGGAUGUCAUGUGUCAGCCUCUGAAGGUGAUUCCUCAACAGGAGUUUGACUCUUAUGUACCAGGCCAUUUUCCCCAUGUGGUAGAACAGAGCUACCACCUGAUUAUGGCUUCACUUACAGGCAUCUGUUCUUCCUUUUGUUUUCCUUUCAUGUCUAUGUAUAUUUGUUUGGCAUUACCUGAGGAGAAACAUAUUUGUUCGGUGGCUGGCUUUUCUAAGCACACAAGCUGUAUGCUUAUAUAAUGUAGUAAAUUUAGCUUGUCCAAGCUGACAAAUGCAUUUGUUUCUAUCUUGUGCUUUUGUGUGCAUUCGGCUGUCAAGCAUGAAAAUUGCACAGCCUUCAAGUUCCAAUAAAGAUGUUUCUGAAGUAUC
Long non-coding RNA from Aquila chrysaetos chrysaetos, 4556 nucleotides. RefSeq lists it as uncharacterized. NCBI's taxonomy places the organism in Eukaryota, Metazoa, Chordata, Aves, Accipitriformes, Accipitridae. The record is from RefSeq and is a predicted model, not a curated record. The transcript is spliced from 2 exons.